Molecule: ribosomal RNA, 518 nt
Filed under: uncultured bacterium
Lineage: Bacteria
Description: bacterial SSU rRNA
Rfam family: Bacterial small subunit ribosomal RNA
Source: RNAcentral
GAGUUUGAUCCUGGCUCAGGAUGAACGCUGGCGGCGUGCCUAACACAUGCAAGUCGAACGAAGCACCUUACCUGAUUCUUCGGAUGAAGGCCUGGUGACUGAGUGGCGGACGGGUGAGUAACGCGUGGGUAACCUGCCCUGUACAGGGGGAUAACAGUUGGAAACGACUGCUAAUACCGCAUAAGCGCACGGUAUCGCAUGAUACAGUGUGAAAAACUCCGGUGGUAUAAGAUGGACCCGCGUCUGAUUAGCUUGUUGGUGAGGUAACGGCCCACCAAGGCGACGAUCAGUAGCCGGCCUGAGAGGGUGAACGGCCACAUUGGGACUGAGACACGGCCCAAACUCCUACGGGAGGCAGCAGUGGGGAAUAUUGGGCAAUGGGCGCAAGCCUGACCCAGCAACGCCGCGUGAGGGAAGAAGGUUUUCGGAUUGUAAACCUCUGUCGCAGGGGACGAAGGAAGUGACGGUACCCUGUAAGAAAGCCCCGGCUAACUACGUGCCAGCAGCCGCGGUAAUUC